This is a long non-coding RNA of Mustela erminea (ermine), 9000 nucleotides long. RefSeq lists it as uncharacterized. The transcript has 3 exons. NCBI's taxonomy places the organism in Eukaryota, Metazoa, Chordata, Mammalia, Carnivora, Mustelidae. The record is from RefSeq and is a predicted model, not a curated record.
CCCUCUUUUUGCUUGAAGGUUCCUUUCUAUCCCAUCUCUCAUAUUUUCAACAAUUGGUCAUUUUCAAGGAACAGAGGUCACUGUUCAUAAGUCACUGACUUGUCCAUGACGGGGGAAGGAAGGGACUAGACCCUGACUCACUUGCCUAGGAUCUUCAUUCCCCAUUCUCGUCGUGGUUGCCUUGUCUGGCGUUUGAAAUUGGGACAGUCCCUGCCUCCACCUCUGCUAGCCACCAGGAGCCCAGUGCUCCUCAGCCCUCUGACCUGGGCGUGAGAACAGUAUUUCUUCCCUUCUGGCAAACACGCAGAUGGCUGGAAGAAAGGUUUCUGAGGAAUCUUACAAAGGAGCUGAAGCACACAGAAUAUGGCCAAAAGCUGCAAACAAGAAUGAGAGAACCCAAGCUUCUAGAUGGUACUGGCUGCUCACUAGGAAGGCUCUCAUGUUGAGGCUGGGUGGGAGUUUGGCCGCCCUGUGGUUUCUUUAAUGUUGCCUCGCUUGCUUCUUGGCCUCGUCUCUAGGAAGGCCCUUGUAUGUUCUCUUAGGAAGAAGAUGUGGGGCUUCGCCGGGUUACUGAUAUCUUCCUCUCCUCUCAAGGUCCCAGGACAGGGGACAAAAAAGGCGCUCUCCUGGACCUCAGGAAGCCCACCCAGCACCUACGGCCUCUCCUUCACCCAUUCCUGGGAGCCUCUGUGAUUCCACAACCCUCCCAUCCUCUCACUGCCCAGCUGUGUUCUCUGGGCCCUGCUCAUUUUGCUUGGAACACAAAUGCAAGUCCUUCGGGCUGGCUCUCCCAGUGAGGCCUACCCAGGGCCGGCAGCCAUCUUUACCUCAGGACUUCACAGCGGCAUCAUGGCCCACACAGAAACAGACUGCUCUGUUCUGAACUGGCUGACAGCUGACUUGAGUCCCUGUUUGAGUUCCCCACUGAGUUCCUAGUUAUAGUCUUAGGAAUGCUUCCACCUCUUGGUUCUCUGGGGGAAAAGAGAUGUCAGAUGCCACUGAGGCUGGGGACACCCCAGCCCUCCAGAGGGAAAGUUAACUUUGUCUCUACACCUGUCUUGUUUGGGGUGGCUGCCACCCCCACCAAGAAUCAGGUCCCUGUCUCCAGCACAGAGAGAGAGAGAGAGAGACAUUAGUGACCAGAACAGACUGGGGCCUCCAGGCACGUUGGCUUCUUCUCAAGCACAGGCUGCAAAAGCUGUAGCACUUUCUAGUCCUUUGCGGUUUGCUUUCCAUUCUUCCUUGUCCCCUUUUCCUCCCUGCUUAGGAAGGUCAGGCCCUCCAAGCAGGAAGGCAGAAAAUCUCUAGUGCCUGUGUGACCUCAGGGUCCUAAGGAAAGUCUCCUUUGGGGCACUGGUUCAUUGCUCAAGCCUCCGUCUUAAAACCUGGGAGGUGGUUUGAUAAGCCAGCUCCUUGGCUUUUCCCUUGGGGCCCUUAGCCCGCUCUGGAGUCACCAUCUCCAUCUCCGUCGGCAUCUCAGCUCCGCGGUGUGACCGCUGACAGAUUUCUUAGUCUCUCCCAACCUGAAUUUCCUCCUCUGGUCAUAACCUGCCGUCAUGGAGUUCCGACCACACAAAGGAUAUGGUACCUGAUUCACAGUGGAUGCUCUGUACAUGUUACUUCCUUUCUUCGUCCCUUGCCCUGUCCCCUUUUCCGCACCCUCCAAACACAGAGGCAAGAAAGCAAGCUCUGUGUCUGCCAGAGAUCCGCACACCAGUUCAAACGGAGCGGCGGCAACCUCCGGUCCUCACCACCCGCCCCCAUCUCCAGCCCUCCGAGGGACAUCUGUAUUCUGAAAAUGGAUCCUCUCCACCGCUCGCCCCCCCAAGUCCACCCAGAGGACACAGUCCGUCCCGUCCGCUCCCGGCUGCAGCUGCUGUUCAUUGUUGCCGUUUCCUGGCUGGCUCCUGACCCCAUCCCAGGUCCUCUCCCCUCUCUCACUUUGCUGGGUGGAUAUGACACCUUCCCGAUGCAGUAUCAUCUGCAAAGUUAAUUAAUGUGUCAUUGGGCUGUUGCCUGCUUCCUGAUCCUUAUCAGGGAUUUCAAUAAAACGCAGCAGCCCCAGUUCCUCCCCGUCUGUCCCUCUCCCUGGAUCUGAGGCUUGUUCUUAGUCAUCCAUCCUUGACCUCUGCCUUCUGGCCAGUUCUCAGCUUCCAGCCUCAGGGCUGAUGGAACUGUCCCGGCCCAAGCCUAGUCUGGGAGCAGAAGCACCAUCCAGGGCUGUCCUGGCCAUGGUGAUCUAGGAGAGAAUCGUGGAUAGCCCGAGCCCUUAGCUCAUCCCAUCGCCUUGAGAGGUUCCCCUGCAUUUGAGGUGCCAUAAGUGACCCUAACUGUCCAACACACUCUUUUCUAGGGUAAAAAAAAAAAAAAAAAAAAAAAAAAAAAAGAGGCUCCCAGAGGUUCCGUGACUUUUCCAAGAUCACAUCCAAUAAAGGAAGAGCUAGGACUUCAGAUCCAGACUCUCAGUGGAGGGCCCCGUGGAAAGUGCUGGUUACUUCAUUUCCUCAGUACUAUGUGCUGAGGGACACAGCAUCCUUCCAUUCAUAAAGCUUCCCUUGUCCAGGGCAGAAGCAGGUAACAAAUACAUAUGUUGGAUUGUGAUAUGUGUUACAGAAAAAUACAGCAGGGUGACUGGAAUGAGAAGUGCUGGGUGGGCAUUACAAUCACGUGGGGGGGUAGCAUAGGGAGCAGUCCCAUGGCCUCACUGGAGAGGGGCCUUCGUACAGACGCAGGAAGUGCUGGAGGCAGUCCUGUGGACAUCUGGGCAAGAAGGAACAGCAAGUUUAAGGCCCUGCUGGUGGCCUUCUGGAACUAUUCAAGAAGCCACAUGAAGCCAGAGUGGCCAGGGACAAGCUCGGAAGGGGACCAGGAAGAAGGGGAGAGAGCUGGACUCAUGCUGGGCUGCUAGUCCAUCUCCCUCUUCCCAGUCUGCCUCUCUUCUCUGCCCCCAAUGAUUCCCCUUCCCCACUUGGCUUCCUAACCACCCCCCUGCCCAGCUGCAGUCUUCAUAACCUUGUUCUUAUGUCUUCUCAGAGGCCACUGAUGAUUCCUAAAUCCCAACUUGGCCAAGGACAGAAAGAACUGCCUCCUUCAAGAACCACAGCCCAAGAACCCUUUCCCUUCCUGUGGACACUUGCCUUGGUGCCAAAUCCCUCAUAAGAUGAAUGACUCUUCCUAAUGCCCUACUGUCUUACAAUGGGAAUCUCCCUUGGCGUCCUGUCGCAGAAAUUGCUCCUUGCAAGCCAGCUUCCUCCUUCAACUGUGGCCGGAUUGGCCAUGUUUCCUGCCUUGGCAAAGAGCUGGUGGGUGGCCAGGUUCCUCCAAUACAGUUAUAUUCUCACACGGACCCCGAGCCCUGAAUGUGCCCGAUGGGACAUUCCUGAAAUCACUUGAUCUACUAUAGCCCUCGCUGUGAGCUCGGUGCCCCAGGAUUGUUGCAAAUGUUGGUGCUGUGGCAUUAUCUCUAUAGAUUUCUCUAAGCAAUUGCAUCUGGAAAAGAGAAAUUUCUUCCCUCUGCCUUUCUUUGGCCUCCAAUGUCACGUCUUUCCAAAAGCCUCCCCUUCCCCCGCUUCCCCCCAUCUCUGUCUUUCCCUGGCAACUUGACAUCAUCAUGAGAGCUUCUUCCCAUUUCAUUCAUUCAUCCAUUAAUUCAGCAAACCUGUACAAAGUCAGGUAUAGUGCCUGUCUGGGGGGGCACAGGGAGUGGCUGGUGGUACAAAGAGGAACACCACCAGAAUACCAUUCCUGCCCUGGAGGGUCUUCCAUUCUGUUGGGGGAGAGGCAGACCCAUAAACGGGUGAUUUCAACAUACUGGGCCCGGUGUCAUGAAAUGGUGGUCCCUGAUAGAAAAAUACCUAAAUCAGAGUCCGGUGGGAGGUGGGGGAGUCAAGGGUCAAGGGGAGGGAAACUUCCUGGAGGAUCUCAGAAAGUCCUCUUCCAUGUCUCUCCAUAAUAAUGAAACCAAGGUACUGAGAACUCACUACAUGCCAAGUGCUAAGCUAAGGUCUCUGUGUAAAUGAUCCCAUGGGACUCUAGGUAGAGGGGAUCCACCCAGGGUGCCAUCUGGAGCCCCUUGGGGCUGCUCGCUCUCUUGUCCUUCUCCUCAAGGUGGAAAAGAAAGUCCCCAGUGGCCCCUGGGCCCCAGGAAACAACACAGCAGCUUGGCAUCUCUGAAGCACACCCAGCUGGCUUGGUGGAGGUUGUCCAACCCAGAUGACACUUCUCUGUGCUGCAUUCUGGUUGCUUUUUCUUGCUACAGGGCAGACUUCUCCAGGGUGGAGGAGGGGUUCUGUCAGGGGAUCCAUCUUCGGAUUCUCCUUGGUCCUCACGGAGCAUCCCUCAGGCUGGCCUCCCUGCCUGUUUCUCAGUCCAGGCCCUGAGAUGGUGAGCUGGAAGGGAAAGCCUCCCCAUCUCCUCUUCUCCUGGGGCACUUGGAGUUCUGCUUCCACAAUUCCAAACAGAGACCAGCAUCACCCUUCCUCCCCUCUACCUACCCACCUACUUUUCCUUUUCUCCUGGUUGAAGAGCUCAGGCCUCUUGACCAAAAAGGCCCAAGCUGUAUCUUUGGCCCCAGUCUUGCUCUUCUCUCUGUGUCAGACCAGACCAGACCAAAUGAUGUGAGACAGACCCAGUACACCUCAUACCUUGGCCAAGCGGUAGGGGGCAUGAACCCUUCGGUAUCACCCAUCGGUAGGGGGUACGAACCCCUGCUCCACAGGGCUUUUGAGAGGUCCACUGCAAUGCAAAAUUGUGAAGGAGAGCCACCCUGUCCCAGGAGCCUGAAGAGGACUGUUGGGGAACACUAUCCUCCUUCUACAAGUAGAUAUCCCAGGCAGAUGUUCUAGGCAGAGCUGGGAGCCGGGUCUGAACUCAUGUGACCCUUCUUAGUAGGUCAGAUGGGAAAACCACACAGGAUCCAGAUGGUUCAGAGGUGAACCGUCCGGGAAUGACCCCUGCUUCCCCUUCUGGGCCUAAGGGUGCUGAAAUCUACAACCGGUGAGGACAUAUAUAUCAUCAAACAUGUACAUGUCUGGGCUACCUAGACAGCAUUCCUGUACCACCCCAGGAGUUAGAAGCCCUGGCUCCUGACCUUGACUUUGACAUGAGGACAAAGCUGUAUGCUGUUUGCAAAGCCAUAGCCCCUCUGUGUCUUAAAGUCCCCAUCAAGAAAGUGGGCAGUGCUACUAGUGGAUCCACACUUGAAGCUUGGGUGUGAAAGGGUCCCAGUAUCACCACCCUGUGCACCAAAGCCCCACCCCUCCCUCUCUGAGCCAGGGGCUGACCAGGGGCCCAGCAGGGGCAGGAAGUGGAAAAGGCCUGUGCUUUCGUCCUCCUGGGCCCAAAUCUGAUCCUCCUUGCUGAUGCUCAGAAGGGCUGGCCUUUUCCCACCCGUCUUGACUCCCUGGGGCCUCUGAUUCUCUGGCCCAAGCCAAAUGUGUAUAAGAAGAUAGGUCAAGAGGUCCCCCAGUUUGGGGUCUCGGCAGUGGCCUGUGGUGCAUGGAUCAGCCCCAGGCUCAUGGAAUAAAAGGCACCAGGGGGUGGCUGGCUCCUGAGCAGAGCCACUGUCCUAGGACUGGGGGGAGGAGAAGGGAGCCGCAUGGAGGGCUCAGAGCUUUGCCUUUGGGCCUCUGCUCUGAGAAUUCCUACUACUAGGAAUCCUCUGGGGAUAUGAGCCUCAAAGAGCCUCUGCCUCCCUACAGGAGCAUGAUCUCAGGAGAGGCCACCCAAGAGGUCCUGGAGCUUCUUUCCUUCUCCCCAUCCCCAAAGACCAAGUGCGCUUCUCCCCAUCCUCUUCCCAAACAGGCUGCCUGGAACCAUCAGCCCCUCCCUGCCGGCCUGCCUUUUCUCCCUUAUCUGGAGCAUCACCCAUUUCUUCCAUCCCUCCCCGCACUGGAGUGUCUGCUGGGUUACCCAACCAACCACCCCUAGGUCAAGCUUGUGUCGGAUGGGUUGAGUCAUUACCUCCAUCUCCUCCCCAACCCUCCCAGGUCCCAGGGCUUGGUCUGGUUUAGCAAGCUGGGAGGGAAGGCUCCUUCCCUUCCAUGUGGGUAGACUCCAAGGCCCCACAGGCCUCUUGGGACAGGGAUUUUCCUGCUAUUUGGCUGGACUUUGUCUUCCCUAGAACAGUGCCUCAUGGGCACUCCUCUCUCCCCAGCAUUAUAGACCCCCCCAUUACCAACUAGACCACCCAACAGAGGGCCUAAGUUUGUUUCCUGCCCAUCUCUCCACUCCAACCCCCUCUCUGGCUAGUCAUGGAAACUUGGACACAGGAGCUAACAUCUCUAGGCCUCAGCAGAUGCUUCUAUAAGACAGAGGAGGAAAAGCCACCAGAGCCCCCCGCCCAGGCAGCCCCUCCCCAGCAACGGGUGAAGGGACCAGAAGAAAGAAGCACUGUCGGUUCUUUUCCCUGAGACUCCAGGAUUUUGCACCAAAAUGCAGGAGUUGCUGGGAGAGGUGGUUUGGAGCCCCUGGCAGCCUCCUUCUCCGACCUGGGUCCCAAGAACUCACAGGUGGCUUUCAAGCAGGUGCCGACAGAGGGGCGCCCUCCUCCCCCUGCUGUGGGGAGAAGAGGAUCCCAGACACUGGGCACCGUGGAGCUCCAUGACCCCCUCAAUCAGAGACCUCUGGGAAACCAGGUUCCUGCCCUGUCUUGUCCCCAAGUUGGCAAGUCCUGGAAAAAGGCCUGCCCUGGUUUCCCCUCAGGGGAAGCUUCUGGGCGUGGGGGAGGGGCCUGCAGCUCAGCCCCCUCCCUUGGCUGACCACAGGGGAAGCCAUGAUGGUGGCACACUCUCAGGGCGAGGGGGUGGGGUGGGGUGGUCAACACAGGAGAAUCUGUCCAUAUAUAAGAAGCGACAUGGGGUGCACGCCAGGGGCUGUAUUUCUCUCUUUCCAUUUUGUUUCCAUCUAGUGCCGCCUCCUGGUCAGCCAUUCUAGGCCUUUGUGCCUGUCCUCCAAGAAGCAAGCCUCUAAAGAUGUCAGAUCCAGGCUGAGGUGGUGGAUCCGAGACACCCCCAAAGCAACCUGCCGCACCCUCCCCUCUAAGGGCCUUCGGGUCCAGCCCACUUCCAGUGACUUGCCUGAGAAACUGGGUUCUCACUACCUCCCCCAGCCCAUGCUGUGGAGGCUUCGGCUCCUCAGGUCUCAAACCCUCCCUAACGCCUCAGGCAGUGGCAAGAGCGGUUAGAAAUGACAGUCGGGUGAGAAGCCAGCGUUCCUCGCCCUGACGCCUUCCGCAAGGUACCCCAGUCCAAAGGCUUGGGGCUCCAGCUCCAGGAUCCCAGUCUCCCAAGCCCACAGCUCCCUGCCUUUGUGUCUGGUUGAAGACCACCCGACCGAGGGUCCCAGGGGUACAGGAAAUGACAAUGCCAUCCAAGGCAAGGGCUGCAUAAGGUUCAAAGAGGGGCUCCUCCCACAGGGCAUGAGAACCUUUCUACAUGCUGCUCCAUGCUCGCUGCCCAGAUUCGCCCUCGGAAAGCCGUGGGGGAGUGGUGUCUGCCCCAUCCACUGACCCCCUUCUCUGGGUUGGACUGCCAUGGUAGAGACCUCAUCCCUUUCUUUGAGGAUCCUUGACUGCCCCCAAAGACAAAACCGUGACAUGAUGCCGUCCUGAUCCCCCACAGACCUUCCAAACACAUCACCCCCCCCACCCCUUUGGUCCUGCCCCGUCGUCUCCAGCGGGAUGGGACGGGACGCUUCUCCUCCCCCACUCCCUGUGCUGGGCUGAGCUGCUGGGCUAUUUGGGGCUUCAGCUGGCCAGCAGUGUAAUCAGUGCCUCGGGAUAAUUGCCACCUGCCCCGCCGGUGUCUAGGGGCUGUCUCGGCCACAGCGGCAGGGGGCGGACACUGGGCAGCCAGGCCCACAGCGAGGUCAGGCUAGGGCAGUCCUCCCCACGCCCUAGAUCUGCUCUCCCCAUGUGUGUGUGGGACCUGUGAGGAUUCCCUAGGAAAGCCAUGCCCUCCUGGGGGCUGCGCUCAUCUGGGGUACCCUGUGGCUUCAGUGGAGAGUGGAGGGCUAUCCCAGCCAAGGAACAAAAGUCCUGAGGCAUGCACAAUCAGCUCAAAGCCUGUCUUCCCAGUCCUGCCACUGAAAUCAGUGGGUACCCCUUCUGUCUGCAAGCUGGCCUCUGGGCAGCACCACAGCUAAGUCACGGGCUCUGUCGCAAGAAUGACUUCUGUUGGACCAUCCCAGGCUCUCCUGCAGCCAAGCCCACCAAGCCUCCUUGUCCUCCUUUGGAGAGGUGGCAAGGGUUAAUGAGAUAGCACAUGAGUGAGAUCUCACAAAAACUAGCUCCCUCCCCUUUGGCUACUUUCUUUUCUACUCCAAGGUGGCUUAGACCUGGUUUAAACACCUGUCAUUGACACUUGGCCAACUCUAUGACGCUUGGGCAAUUGGUUCAGCCUUGGUUUCCUCAUUUAUAAAAAGGGUCCUCAGAGAAGCUGCCCUAUCAAGUUACUGUGAAGAACACAUGGUCUUGGGGUGCCUGGUGGACUGAAUUGGUAGAGCGUAUGUCUCUUUCCACCUCAGGGUUGUGAGUUUGAGCCCCAUGUUGGGUGUAGAGAUCACUUAAAAAUAAAAUCUUUUUUUUUUUUUUUAAAGAGAAUACAUGAUUGAAUGCAUGUCAGAUGCUUUGCCGAGCACCAGGAGUACUCAGCACUGAUGGAGGUUAUCACGGACAACUGCAAAGACCAAAGAAUGGGCAUGAGAAGCUUCAGAAAGCCAACCAUGCCACACUCAGAAGAGCAAAGGCUGAAGAGACACGCCAGGGCUGAUUGGAACAACUGCACGGCAACCCCAGUGCCUGGACAUCCUCUGUGGCAGCUAGAGCCCCGAAGCGAAGGGGUGCUUCUCUCGGGAUUUCUCCCUCUUGCAACCCUGUUUGCUCUAAGGUGGUGUCACAUAAGCUCCUCAUAGUCAGAGAACACUAGACACUUGUGGGUAUUUUCUUUUUUAAAAAGAAUCAGAAGCAGCAACAUCUAGAUGAAGUAGCUUUGAUCUUGGGAA